RNAcentral lists this ribosomal RNA (292 nucleotides) under uncultured bacterium. RNAcentral's name for it is "partial 16S ribosomal RNA". RNAcentral also lists the same sequence under 1 other name. The record is from RNAcentral.
GGACUACAGGGGUAUCUAAUCCUGUUUGCUCCCCACGCUUUCGUGUAUGAGCGUCAGUGCUAACCCAGGGGGCUGCCUUCGCCAUCGGUGUUCCUCCAGAUCUCUACGCAUUUCACUGCUACACCUGGAAUUCCACCCCCCUCUGCCGCACUCUAGCCUCGUAGUUUCCAACGCAGUUCCCAGGUUAAGCCCGGGGAUUUCACAUCGGACUUGCGAGACCGCCUACGCACGCUUUACGCCCAGUAAUUCCGAUUAACGCUUGGACCCUACGUAUUACCGCGGCGGCUGGCAC